CCCUAUUAUAUUUAAUGUAAAUUUAAUUUUGAGUAGUAAAUAAUUUGGGCAGGAAACUUAAAGAAUUUGGCGGUGUAUAUUCUAAUUAGAGGAAUAUGUUUUUUAAUUGAUAAUUCACAAUUAUUUUGCUUAGUUUAAUUUAUUUUGUAUAUCUCCGUCUUAAAAAAAUAUUUUUAAAUAAUUUUUUUAUUUUUUAAAAGAAAAAAAGUCAGGUCAAGAUGCAGAUGAUAAUUAAGUUGAAAUGUAUUACAAUAAUGAUAUUUUUUGGAUUAAGCUUGAAAAAGGUUUAUAAAAUUGGAUUUAUAAGUAAAUUCUUUUAAAUGAUAAUUAAUUGAAUAAUGUUAAUAUAUAUGUACACAUCCC
This 363-nucleotide ribosomal RNA is filed under the name Ptycta sp. Ptsp.MY.06.17.2008.02. Its description in RNAcentral is "partial 12S ribosomal RNA". The record is from RNAcentral. Lineage: Eukaryota; Metazoa; Arthropoda; Insecta; Psocodea; Psocidae.